RNAcentral lists this ribosomal RNA (277 nucleotides) under uncultured bacterium. Its description in RNAcentral is "partial 16S ribosomal RNA". It matches the Rfam family "Bacterial small subunit ribosomal RNA", at positions 78 to 353 of the family's 1533-position model. The record is from RNAcentral.
CGCUAAGUUUGAUGGCGACCGGCGCACGGGUGAGUAACACGUAUCCAACCUGCCUCAUACUCGGGGAUAGCCUUUCGAAAGAAAGAUUAAUAUCCGAUAGCAUAUAUUUCCCGCAUGGGUUUUAUAUUAAAGAAAUUCGGUAUGAGAUGGGGAUGCGUUCCAUUAGUUUGUUGGGGGGGUAACGGCCCACCAAGACUACGAUGGAUAGGGGUUCUGAGAGGAAGGUCCCCCACAUUGGAACUGAGACACGGUCCAAAUUCCUACGGGAGGCAGCAUG